This 629-nucleotide long non-coding RNA is filed under the name Phasianus colchicus (ring-necked pheasant). RNAcentral describes it as "lncRNA (ENSPCLG00000008738.1)". Lineage: Eukaryota; Metazoa; Chordata; Aves; Galliformes; Phasianidae. The record is from RNAcentral.
GGCACCUAGCAGGGCUGAUCUGGAGUCCUAGAGAAAUUUGUUAGAACAGGAGUGUGAAAUAGGAAGGUAUGGGUUGGCUUCCCCUCACCCUACAGAGCACCGGGGUGCUGUGGGGCAGCGGGUGCAUCCCCAGCUGCAGGCCGCGCUCAUCGUUUCCAUGGCAACGCAAGAUGGCAGGUCUGCCCUGCUCCUCACAGUGCAAAAUGCCGGGUUUUGUCCAUCGGCUGAAGGCAGCAAUCCUGCCCUAGUGACAAAAGUGAACAAAUUAUUUAGGACACUCAGGAGAAAAAGCCACUUGAUAGUGUUUUAUCUGCUUAUCAUCUGGGGUGAUCUCUUCACCACGGUGAGGGAAAGAGUGGCAAAUCUGAUAAAGGUGACACAAACUGUCAGGAGAAUUGGUGGCAUCGAGGGAGGCCUGGUGCUAAUCAUCCAACUGGAGUGGAAGAGUUUGCAGGCUCUCUGUUGUGAGGAAAUCUGUGCAGCUGUGGUUCAGCAUCUGUAGUGUGCAAAAAUUAGCAACAAACUCAGCGAAAAACUGGAGCCUAUGCUAGACCUUGAUUCAAGAUGUAUGGCAACCUCCCUGCAUUUAAAGAACUCUGGUUCUGGUCCUUACUUGCAGAGUGACUAAG